GUGAGGUCCUUUUUAUUGGCUCUGAGGGCAUGGUAUGCUUUGAGAUUUGGACAAUCCUCUCUACUUCUAGCUGGUCCCCAAUUAUAUAGGCUUACAUCUAAUUUAUCUGAGCUUCUAUUUGGCUGCUAGUCCCUGUACCCUGUGCCAUCUCACACUGAGUCAGGGGGGAGGUGAGUAUACCUGCCAGGCCGAGUGCUGAUUGAAGCUCAAAUAGGUUCUUUUUAGUGGAAAUCAAGAUCAUGAUAACUCUAGGGACUUUUUAAAAAAAAUAGCACUUUAUUUCAUUUUAAUUUCUUUAAGUUACCAU
Long non-coding RNA from Pipistrellus kuhlii (Kuhl's pipistrelle), 307 nucleotides. RefSeq lists it as uncharacterized. NCBI's taxonomy places the organism in Eukaryota, Metazoa, Chordata, Mammalia, Chiroptera, Vespertilionidae. The record is from RefSeq and is a predicted model, not a curated record. The transcript has 2 exons.